UGCUAAGUGUUAGGGGGUUUUCCGCCCCUUAGUGCUUGCAGCUAACGCAUUAAGCACUCCGCCUGGGGAGUACGGUCGCAAGACUGAAACUCAAAGGAAUUUGACGGGGGCCCGCACAAGCGGUGGAGCAUGUGGUUUAAUUCGAAGCAACGCGAAGAACCUUACCAGGUCUUGACAUUCCUCUGACAAUCCUAGAGAUAGGACGUCCCCUUCGGGGGCAGAGUGACAGGUGGUGCAUGGUUGUCGUCAGCUCGUGUCGUGAGAUGUUGGGUUAAGUCCCGCAACGAGCGCAACCCUUGAUCUUAGUUGCCAGCAUUCAGUUGGGCACUCUAAGGUGACUGCCGGUGACAAACC
This 354-nucleotide ribosomal RNA is filed under the name Bacillus subtilis. Its description in RNAcentral is "bacterial SSU rRNA". It matches the Rfam family "Bacterial small subunit ribosomal RNA", at positions 814 to 1164 of the family's 1533-position model. Lineage: Bacteria; Bacillati; Bacillota; Bacilli; Caryophanales; Bacillaceae. The record is from RNAcentral.